UGGGCUAUGGUGUAAUGGUAACACUACAGAUUCUGGUCCUGUCAUUCCUGGUUCGAGUCCAGUAGCCCAACAA
Molecule: transfer RNA, 73 nt
Filed under: Bacteroides pyogenes DSM 20611 = JCM 6294
Lineage: Bacteria; Pseudomonadati; Bacteroidota; Bacteroidia; Bacteroidales; Bacteroidaceae
Description: tRNA-Gln
Rfam family: tRNA
About the family: Transfer RNA (tRNA) molecules are approximately 80 nucleotides in length.
Source: RNAcentral